This 1934-nucleotide long non-coding RNA is filed under the name Cricetulus griseus (Chinese hamster). RNAcentral describes it as "lncRNA (ENSCGRG00015040528.1)". Lineage: Eukaryota; Metazoa; Chordata; Mammalia; Rodentia; Cricetidae. The record is from RNAcentral.
UUAUAUUUCACUGUGGGUGAACAUCACCUGGAGUGCUUGUGAAAAUGCAGAUUCUUGGGCCUAGCCCAGCUGCACUCAAGCAGGCAUGGCAUUUUCAGUGUGUUCUAGGGAAAUGGAGGCUGGAUGUGAAAUAUUAUGUCAGUUCAUGUAAGCCCACUGUCAAGCUCAGUUGGAAGGUGUUUGAAGUGGACAUUCUAUGUGGGGGCUGUGGUGCAUGUCUGUAACCCCAAUGCAUGAGAGGCUGAGAAAGCAGGAGUGCUAAUCCGAAGCCAGUCUCACUACAUAGCAAGUUGUGGGCCAUCUUGAGCUACAUAAAGAGAUAACUAUCUCAGUAAAUCCCCGGCCUUCACCUUUGUGAUCUCCAGACAGAUAUCUAACCUACGGUAAGCACUAUUUGGUUUAAUCUACAAACAUACAAGUCACUGAGAAAAGGAAAAAAGUUUAGGUGAUGUAGCCUUAUUAACGUGGUAUCUAUUUAUAGUUUAAUUCUAUGUAAGUCAUAGAAUCUUUGAAAUUUAUCACUGGAAGGACUUAGAAAAAAGCAGUCUACUCUUUUUGAAGACUCUUGAAUAAAGAGGUGAAAAAAGGGGGGGAUCUAAAGGAUUAAUGAAAACAUUUCAGCCACUAGCUUGGAUAAUUCUCAGGUGUUUGCUCACACCUUCCCCCUUCAAGUUUAGAUGGAAUUAUCCACAAAGAACCAUUAAGUAAAUACAAUUAAUCAUAAUCAAUCAUACUCUGUCUGAAUUUGCCUACAACCACAGUUCUGAAGUGGACACAUGGUACCCAUUUGCUGGCUCUAAUUCUCUGCCAGUUCACAAAAUACUGUGUUGCUUGGUUCAGCAAAGCAUUUCAACCUCCAAUUAUAAGUGAUAUCGUAAAAAAAAUCACUGAAAUGUCCAAAUACAUGCCACCCAUCCUUGCAUAGGAAACAUUCUUUUCCAACGCACACAGUUUGCACAAAUGAUCAUGAACGCAUCAUUACUUUCCAUGUAGCAGCCCCACCAGCUCCCUUUCUUCAUUUGUAAAUGCUAACUUUGGAUUUACCCACUUAAGUAUUUACUAGAAGAUCACGACUAAGCUAAAAUAAGUGGGCUAUAUACUGAUGCCAACUUUUAAUGGAACAUAUGCAUAAAAAUACAUGAAAAAUUACCAUGUUCUCACCGCCGUUAUUUUGCUGAAAUAGAAAAGUUUAAUGAUAAGACAUAGGAAGGAACUAAUUCAAAUGAGGCACUAUCCCUGUAUUUCUGUAUUGUUGUGGGGUCAUAGUUACUCAGUCACUGUGUUAAUUACUUCUCUGUUGCUGUGACUAAGAGUAGCAAACAACCUAAGGGAGCAAGGGUUUGGCUAUUUCAGAGAUCUCCUUAUAUUGUGGUGAGAGGAGUGAAGUCCCUUAGGCAGUGAGGGCAAGAGCCCUGGUGGACCAUAAACUAGUCAUGUAGAACACAUCACCUUUCCCCUGAAUGGAUGAGUAGCUCUCCUCUUGGGCCUAGGGAGCAUGUGCAGAAUGUGUAGACUGCAUGCUAGCUCCAUCUGAAAGGAGCCCAGGAUGGAUCAACCAUACCAAAGAUGACCUCAGUGUGCCCCCACCUUCCAUCCUGAGAUAAAUGAGAGCCCUUUGCCAGGGUGCAGCAGAGGUUUGCCUCCCUUCGAGCCUCUCUCCCUCUUGGCAGUUCUUUUUCACCUUUCCCUAAUAAAUACAUUUGCUCUGCACAUUCGUGGUCUGUCUUCUCUUAUUCUUCAAUGCGCAAGAUGUGUAAUAUGAGAUCCUCUAUCUCCCUUCCUACCCCUCCUCCCCUGUCCCAUGCCUCUCUUAAGAGCAUGUGGACUUGUGGUAGUGAACUGGGAAGUCACUGACUCCUGGGGGAGGGGGUGACCUUGGUGGCUGUUGUUUAUCUGGAGCCCUAGUGAAGAGGGAAGGAACACUCUCAGACAAC